RNAcentral lists this microRNA precursor (237 nucleotides) under Glycine max (soybean). Its description in RNAcentral is "miR9756 stem-loop (gma-MIR9756)". The record is from miRBase by way of RNAcentral. Lineage: Eukaryota; Viridiplantae; Streptophyta; Magnoliopsida; Fabales; Fabaceae.
CUAUGGCCCUGUUUGGGUAAAGUUCUCAAUAAGCACUUAUAGGAAAAGAAAUAACAAGUUAAAAUGAAUUAAGCUUAUCCCACAAGUUAAAUUAGCUUUUGGAAAAAAAUGAAAAAACUUCCAUAAAUUAGCUUAUACAUAAACUAAUUUUAACUUAUGAGGGAAGUUUAAAUCAUUUUCUAUCUAUUUUCUUCUUUUACAAGUGCUCAUUGAGAACUUUAUCCAAACAGAGCAAUA